Oncorhynchus nerka (sockeye salmon) is the source of this 2983-nucleotide long non-coding RNA. RefSeq lists it as uncharacterized. NCBI's taxonomy places the organism in Eukaryota, Metazoa, Chordata, Actinopteri, Salmoniformes, Salmonidae. The transcript is spliced from 2 exons. The record is from RefSeq and is a predicted model, not a curated record.
GAGCUGACAUGUAUGUACCUGUAGUAAGUGGACCUACUGAUGGAGCUGACAUGGAUGUACCUGUAGUAAGUGGACCUACUGAUGGAGCUGACAUGGAUGUUCCUGUAGUAAGUGGACCUACUGAUGGAGCUGACAUGGAUGUACCUGUAGUAAGUGGACCUACUGUCAGACUGAUGGAGCUGACAUGUAUGUACCUGUAGUAAGUGGACAUACUGAUGGAGCUGACAUGGAUGUAUCUGUAGUAAGUAGACCUACUGAUGGAGCUGACAUGGAUGUACCUGUAGUAAGUGGACCUACUGAUGGAGCUGACAUGGAUGUUCCUGUAGUAAGUGGACCUACUGAUGGAGCUGACAUGGAUGUACCUGUAGUAAGUGGACCUACUGUCAGACUGAUGGAGCUGACAUGGAUGUAUCUGUAGUAAGUGGACCUACUGAUGGAGCUGACAUGGAUGUACCUGUAGUAAGUGGACCUACUGUCAGACUGAUGGAGCUGAUGGAGCUGACAUGGAUGUAUCUGUAGUAAGUAGACCUACAGUCAGACUGAUGGAGCUGACAUGGAUGUAUCUGUAGUAAGUGGACCUACUGAUGGAGCUGACAUGGAUGUAUCUGUAGUAAGUGGACCUACUGAUGGAGCUGACAUGUAUGUACCUGUAGUAAGUGGACCUACUGAUGGAGCUGACAUGGAUGUACCUGUAGUAAGUGGACCUACUGUCAGACUGAUGGAGCUGACAUGGAUGUACCUGUAGUAAGUGGACCUACUGAUGGAGCUGACAUGGAUGUACCUGUAGUAAGUGGACCUACUGUCAGACUGAUGGAGCUGACAUGUAUGUAGCUGUAGUAAGUGGACCUACUGAUGGAGCUGACAUGGAUGUAUCUGUAGUAAGUGGACCUACUGUCAGACUGAUGGAGCUGACAUGGAUGUACCUGUAGUAAGUGGACCUACUGAUGGAGCUGACAUGGAUGUACCUGUAGUAAGUAGACCUACUGAUGGAGCUGACAUGGAUGUAUCUGUAGUAAGUAGACCUGCUGUCAGACUGAUGGAGCUGACAUGUAUGUACCUGUAUUAAGUAGACCUACAGUCAGACUGAUGGAGCUGACAUGGAUGUACCUGUAGUAAGUAGACCUACUGUAAGACUGAUGCUUCUGAUGGUCCUGUCAUGGUUUCAAGGACUGUUCAGAAAUCUUGUUCAUGAAUGUGUGGUGUCAAAGAACACUUUAAUAAUGAAUAAAGUUGACAUCAUAGCUUUUAUUAGUAAGGCUAUCAAUACGAUUCAGGUUGUGGAAAGCAUAAAUACCAGGUUGAAGGUUAUUGUGGAGAUGGCAAAAGAGAUAUUGGGGUUAACAGAUGUUACUGUUGAAAUGGUUGUUGACAUGCUGAACAAUCCUAAGGGUGGAGUGUUUAUGCAAAAUAUACAGUUACCAGUCAAAAGUUUGGACACCUACUCAUUCAAGGGUUUUAACUUUAUUGUAGAAUAAUAGUGAAGACAUCAAAACUAUGAAAUAACAUUUGGAAUCAUGUAGUAACAGAAAGUGUUAAACAAAUCAAGAUAUAUAUUUUUUUAAUAUAACAUAACAUGCAACAAUUUCACAGAUUUGACUGAGUUCUCCCCCUCAGACGAUCCUGCAGGUCAAGAAGCCGGAUGUGGAGGUCCUGGGCUGGCGUGGUUACACCUGGUCUGCGGUUGUAAUGCCGGUUGGACGUACUACCAAAUUCUCUAAAACAACAUUGGAGCCUGCUUAUGGACCAUGCUUCAGGACUACCUGGCUUGAUGACUCCUUGCUGUCCCAGGUCCACCUGGCCGUGCUGCUGCUCCAGUUUCAACCUGUUCACCAGACGUGCUACCUGUCCUAGACCUGCUGUUUUCAACUCUCUAGAGACAGCAGUUGAAUAAUCGGCUAUGAAAAGCCAACUGAUAUUUACUCCUGAGGUGCUGACCUGUUGCACCCACAACAACUACUGUGAUUAUUAUUAUUUGACCCUGCUGGUCAUCGAUGAACAUUUGAACAUCUCCACCCAGCAUAGCCAGAAAAGGACUGGCCACCCCUCAUAGCUUGGUUCCUCUCAAGGAUUCUUCCUAGGUUCUGGCCUUUCUAGGGAGUUUUUCCUAGCCACUGUGCUUCUACACCUGCAUUGCUUGCUGUUUGGGGUUUUAGGCUAGGUUUCUGUACAGCACUAUGUGACAUCAGCUGAUGUAAGAAGGGCUUUAUGAAUUAAUUUGACCAAUACAAUGCUUCUUCUCUGUAAUCAAAUUAACAGCAGGCUUUCAGCAUGCUUAUAGAGAAGGGGACUCAACAUGUACUGCACUGACACAAAUGACUGAUGAUUGGUUGAAAGACAUUUUGAAGAUUGUGGGAGUUGUACUGUUCGAUUUCAGUGCAGCCUUGAUAUUAUUGACCAUAACCUGUUGUUGAGAAAACUUAUGUGUUCAAGCUUUUCAACCAUAUCGUGGAUUAAGAGAUAUCUAAUAUAACAUAGGGUUUUCUUUAAUGGAAGCUUCUCUAAUGUCAAACAUGUAAAUUGUGCUGUACCGCAAGGCAGCUCUCUAGGUCCUAUACUCAUUUCUAUUUUUACCAAUGACAUGCCACUGGCAUUAAACAAAGCAUGUGUGCCCAUGUAUCCUGAUUAUUCAUCGAUAUACGCAUCAGUUGCAGUCUGUUUUGGAAUGGGUGGCCAGUAAUAAACUGGUCUUAAACAGCUCUAAAACUAAGAGCAUUGUUGCUUUCACUUCUUUGACUGCAUCACUCUUCUUCCUGUGUAUUUCUCUAUCGUGAUCUCUCUUCUUCCCGUGUCGUGAUCUCUCUUCUUCCCUAAGUUCUAGACCUCAGCUGAAUCUGGUAAUGAAUGGACUGGCUGUUGAACAAGUUGAGAAAAAAUUCACUUAGUUACCUUCGAUUGUAAACGGUCAUGGUCAAAACAUAUAAAUUAAAUGGUUGUAAAGAUGGAGGAGAGUUCUGUCCGUAAUAAAGAGAUGCUCUGGAAAGAC